Small nuclear RNA from Gracilinanus agilis (Agile Gracile Mouse Opossum), 107 nucleotides. NCBI's taxonomy places the organism in Eukaryota, Metazoa, Chordata, Mammalia, Didelphimorphia, Didelphidae. The record is from RefSeq and is a predicted model, not a curated record.
GUGCUCACAUUGGUAGCUCACAUGCCAAAAUUAGGAUGAUAACAAGAAGAUUAGCAUGGCCCCUAUACAAAGAUGACAUGCAAAUUCAUGAAAUGUUCCAAAUUUUA